This 248-nucleotide ribosomal RNA is filed under the name uncultured soil bacterium. RNAcentral's name for it is "partial 16S ribosomal RNA". It matches the Rfam family "Bacterial small subunit ribosomal RNA", at positions 26 to 276 of the family's 1533-position model. The record is from RNAcentral.
AGAUUGAACGCUGGCGGCAUGCCUUACACAUGCAAGUCGAACGGCAGCACGGGAGCAAUCCUGGUGGCGAGUGGCGAACGGGUGAGUAAUACAUCGGAACGUGCCCAAUCGUGGGGGAUAACGCAGCGAAAGCUGUGCUAAUACCGCAUAAGAUCUAUGGAUGAAAGCAGGGGAUCGCAAGACCUUGCGCGAAUGGAGCGGCCGAUGGCAGAUUAGGUAGUUGGUGAGGUAAAGGCUCACCAAGCCUU